This 253-nucleotide ribosomal RNA is filed under the name uncultured bacterium. RNAcentral's name for it is "partial 16S ribosomal RNA". It matches the Rfam family "Bacterial small subunit ribosomal RNA", at positions 524 to 776 of the family's 1533-position model. The record is from RNAcentral.
UACAGAGGUCCCAAGCGUUGUUCGGAUUCACUGGGCGUAAAGGGUGCGUAGGUGGCGAGGAAAGUCGGAUGUGAAAGCUCGGAGCUCAACUCCGAAAUGGCAUUGGAAACUACCUUGCUCGAGGGUUGGAGGGGGGACUGGAAUUCUCGGUGUAGCAGUGAAAUGCGUAGAUAUCGAGAGGAACACCAGUGGCGAAGGCGAGUCCCUGGACAACUCCUGACACUGAGGCACGAAAGCUAGGAGAGCAAACAGG